CAGUCGCCGCGGUAAUACGAAGGGUGCAAGCGUUAAUCGGAAUUACUGGGCGUAAAGCGUGCGUAGGCGGUGAGUUAAGUCUGCUGUGAAAUCCCCGGGCUCAACCUGGGAAUGGCAGUGGAUACUGGCUCGCUAGAGUGUGUCAGAGGAUGGUGGAAUUCCCGGUGUAGCGGUGAAAUGCGUAGAGAUCGGGAGGAACAUCAGUGGCGAAGGCGGCCAUCUGGGACAACACUGACGCUGAGGCACGAAAGCGUGGGGAGCAAACAGGAUUAGAUACCCCCGUAGUCCCUGUCUCUUAUAA
Molecule: ribosomal RNA, 301 nt
Filed under: uncultured bacterium
Lineage: Bacteria
Description: partial 16S ribosomal RNA
Rfam family: Bacterial small subunit ribosomal RNA
Source: RNAcentral